RNAcentral lists this ribosomal RNA (374 nucleotides) under uncultured bacterium. RNAcentral's name for it is "bacterial SSU rRNA". It matches the Rfam family "Bacterial small subunit ribosomal RNA", at positions 527 to 898 of the family's 1533-position model. The record is from RNAcentral.
GUAGGGCGCAAGCGUUGUCCGGAAUUAUUGGGCGUAAAGAGCUCGUAGGCGGCCAGUCGCGUCGGGUGUGAAAGACCGGGGCUUAACCCCGGUUCUGCAUUCGAUACGGGCUGGCUAGAGUGUGGUAGGGGAGAUCGGAAUUCCUGGUGUAGCGGUGAAAUGCGCAGAUAUCAGGAGGAACACCGGUGGCGAAGGCGGAUCUCUGGGCCAUUACUGACGCUGAGGAGCGAAAGCGUGGGGAGCGAACAGGAUUAGAUACCCUGGUAGUCCACGCCGUAAACGGUGGGAACUAGGUGUUGGUCACAUUCCACGUGAUCGGUGCCGCAGCUAACGCAUUAAGUUCCCCGCCUGGGGAGUACGGCCGCAAGGCUAAA